GAUAAACGCUGGCGGCGCACAUAAGACAUGCAAGUCGAACGGAAGUCGUUAUAAAAAGGAUUGAAGAUUUAUCUGAUUGAGAUUUUUAUAACAAUGGCUUUAGUGGCGGACUGGUGAGUAACGCGUGAGCAACCUGCCUACUAGAGGGAAAUAACAGUGAGAAAUCAUUGCUAAUACCGCAUAUGCCAUGAACAUCACAUGAUGAAAAUGGGAAAAGAGUAAUCUGCUAGUAGAUGGGCUCGCGUCUGAUCAGAUAGUUGGUAGGGUAACGGCCUACCAAGUCGACGAUCAGUAGCCGGACUGAGAGGUUUGAACGGGCCACAUUGGGACUGAGAUAC
Molecule: ribosomal RNA, 338 nt
Filed under: uncultured bacterium
Lineage: Bacteria
Description: bacterial SSU rRNA
Rfam family: Bacterial small subunit ribosomal RNA
Source: RNAcentral